UGUGCCCCGGGCCCAGCUCGCCCCGCUGCUUCCCGGCCCAGUGCCUCCAAGCUGGGCCCAGCCUCUCGGGCCUGGGCCUGCCGCAGAGCCGGGACAUUGCCCUGCUGGGACCUGGCGCCCACUGGGCCUCGGGGCGUAGGGAGGGUGCCGGGACUGGGAGCUCGGGGAGCGGAAGGGCGUCGGUACCGAUCUUCCUUCCAAGACCUGGGGGUGGACCUGGCCUGUGGCCUUCCCUGUGCCCCCUCUUCUCUUAGACCAUUGACUUUCUGAACGACAACAUCCGACGAGGGAUUGAGAACUACUACGACGACCUCGACUUCAAGAACAUCAUGGACUUUGUUCAGAAGCAGGUGAGCCCCGGGGCUGGGGCCAGAGGGGUACCUCGAGGUCCUUCGUCCCCCUGACUCCCACCACAGUAGGGGCCCCUGCUCCAGAAGGGAGGGGGUGUCAAGGGUCAGGUGACGUAUCCAUUCCCAAAGCAGGCGGCUGGCCCAGUUGGGAGGCGUGGCCACCAACGAAGCCAGGGCCCAGCUGGCCCCCGAGUCCUGGCCCAGGUGACCGUAUCCUACCCACUCUGGUUACAUGGACCCUCCCCUGUCCCCUCCCACCCCCAAAUAAUCACCCCCACAGCAAGGCCAGGCGGAGCUACGGGCCACCUUGCAGGGUCCUGGGUACACCUCCUCCAGGGCCAGGGACCCUCCUCUGCGGGAUGAGGUGGCCUCCCCAGCCUAAGCCUCCUCGGCGAAGUCCCCUGGCUCCAGGGAGCUCACCUGCUAAGUGACAGUCCUGAUGGCAGGACUCUGCACCGGCUCAUUCCUCCAGGUCGGGCACAGAGCCACCCCCGCCCCCACCACGCGUCCCCCAGUGUGAUGAGAAUCCUGUGCCGUCUGGGGUCCCCGGCCUCCCCAGGCCCACCCGACUCUGUUGGUGCCAUGAGAGCAGUUGCAGGGCCGCCAGUGUCCCCAUGUGCUCCUGCACCUGUCUCCUUUGGUCCCGGCUCACGGUCCUCACUCCCUGAGCGCUGCCCUGAGGGUCACCCAACUUCUCUCAGGAACAGAGCCUGGCACAGCACGUGCCAGCAGCGAGGCCGUCCUUACACUCUCCUGGUUGAGGCCAGCAGAGUUUGAAGGCUGCAGGCCCACUCGGCCCUGGAGGCCUGUCCUGGGACAUGACCUUGGGGGUUGGGCUGGCCCUUGAGGACCAGCCUCUCAGCACACCCAGGGCCCUUGGCUCAGAGCUUCUCUGUGGUCAGAACAGGUGCAGCUUCUGGGAGCCCUGGCUGCCAGGACGUGCCUGCCAACGCUGGCCGGAGCGUCAAGUCAGACUCCAGGGAGAGCACGAUGUUUUUAUUGGAACCAGCCUCUUGCUGGCACGGGGACUCCAUCUCCUGGGUGGGGCAGGGCUGACCAAAGCUCACUGGGCCCCUGCUGUGCACAGCCUCUCUUGUGAUCACAGCUUAGUUCUGCAAAGCUGCUGUUGCUCUUCCUGUUUUAUAGAGGAGAAUUUGAGUCCAGAGAGGCUGAUUGACUUACCUGCAGUCACACAGCUGGGAGUGGCAGUAUGAGGAUUUGAACUCAGGCAAAGCAGAUGUCCCUUGAACUGCACAGAGGCACUUACAGAUCCAGAAAGCUGAUUGCUUAAGAGGCACUAUGGGGGCUCUGGAAGGGUGUCUGGUUUCUGUUUCUACCAGGACCUCCUACUGAAGCUCUCCCCAGGGAUGCUCCACUGCUCCUGGACCUAAUCCCGGCUCCCCGCUUACUCUGGCUGACGGGGCUUGGCGGUGCUCUGCCUCCUUCUCAUAACCUGCCACUCGCUCACUCUGUUCCAGACUCGCUGGCUUUUGUGCCCACUGCUGAAGUACAGGCUCGUUUCUGCGCAGGGCCUUUGCACAUGUCAACGGGCUUGUCCUUACUUACUUUUCAGAUGAAAUGUCCCCUCCUCAGAGUGGCCUUUCUGGACCUCCCAACCUGUAGCCACCCACCCUGCUCCCCCCCACCCGUCUCUCCAAGUCCAGGGUGCACAGAACCCCACCUGAUCUUUUCACUUAGCACCUACUGUCUCCCUCGGUGCUUUUGCUCACCCCUUUCUGCCCAGAGCCCCGAACAGAAGCUGGCUCCGCCCACUCCUCAGAGCUGCGCCUGCUGCCCAUGGAGCUGGCUGCUGGGGAGGAGGGCGUGGGGUUGACCCGAGGGAGAGCCGGGGCAGCUGCUCGUGCCCCAAGGCCAGUGGACGGGGACUUCCACAGAAUCAUGGUCUCUGGUGCCGUGAAGGUCCUCCUCCAGCCCAGCGCCUGCACAGGGACACGGGGACACAGGGACACAGGGAUGGUGAAGUUGUCAAAGGAGGAUUUUCCUUUGGUGCCCAGGUGUUGCCCUGACCUGGGGCACUCACUGCCUCCCGAUGGCUGAGCCGCUCGGGGACAGCUCUGGCCCCACACUGCACAGCCGAUGCCCUCUAGGGCUCCCUGCCUCAGGGCAACCCCCGUGGUAGACCGCUGUCCCCUGGCCCCUUACCGCCACCCGACCUCCUCGGCAGUGAUGGCUCCCUGUCCCGCUUGUGUCCUCCUCAGUUCAAGUGCUGUGGCGGGGAGGACUACCGAGACUGGAGCAAGAACCAGUACCAUGACUGCAGCGCCCCUGGGCCGCUGGCCUGCGGGGUGCCGUACACCUGCUGCUUCAGAAACACGGUAGCUGCUGGCAGGGGGAGGGCAGGGGUGCACCCCACGCUCAGAUCCCGGGUCCGGGGUGGUGGCCAGAGCCGAGCUUUCCUGAGCUCCAAGGGCUCCUGCAGGGGGAGGCCAGGGAGGGUGUCGCCUUGUGAGCCAGGUCAGUUGGCCUCUGUUGGGAACGAGCCCUUUGAUUGGGUGAAUUCACUUUCCACUUACAGCCUGUGAGCAGGCCCUGGGAUUGUCCCCACUUUCCAGAUGGGGAAACUGAGGCACUGGAAGGUUGGGCGUCCUGUCCAGACUUGGCAGGGCUAUAGGGUAAAAUGCCCGCAGCUGUGCCCUGGAGAGCUGUGGGCAGGGACGGGGCAGGAGGAGGGGGCCCUGGCGGGGGGUGUCUCCCGUGACCUUGAGCUUGAGGUUCUGGGAGUCGCAGCAGCAGAGCACUGGGGAGAAGCGGGUCUGGGGGUGUGAAUGCCUGCUUCUGCCUCUCCCCGGCACACCCCUCUCAGCUGUCACCUCCUGAGUCCCCUGGGCUGCUGUCCUAUGCAGUCACCGCCCGUCAGUCCUCGGGUGUAGCCAGUGUGCGCAGAGCUGCCUGGUUUCUGGAUCGGAAUGGAGCAGACGGCGUUGCAAUUACUCAAGCCACCAAGAGUCAUGGAAAAUUCCCCGCUGACACCUCCGCUCUCUGUGCCCGCGGGUUCUGUAAACGGAGCAGUGGCGGGCGGGGGCCUCGCCCUGAGCCGGAGCCAGUGACAGUGUAUCACCCUAAAAAAGGCCAGGCCAGGAGGGGAGCCGGCAUGGCACAUCCAGCUGCCAUUUUAGGGUAGAUCUCUGGGCAGCAGGAGAGCCGUGGAGAGCCGGGGUUUUCAGAGACCUGGAGAGGUUCGUCCAGCACUCUUAAGUGGCAGAGAAGGAGCUGGAUCCAUUGAGGGUGAUGCCGGAGGCCACAGUAGCCUCUCCUUGGUCACUCAUGGCCCCCUGGCCCCACAGCGUUCACUUAGACAUAGAGGGACACGCUGGACAGGCUGAGCCUGGGGGCCCACCUCUCCCCUUAUGAAUGGAGAUGGCAUCAGGCAGGGCACAGGUGGUGACAGAAAGUUCCCCUGCAGCCUGUGUCCUGGGGCCUGUCUGGAAGGGAUGGGACAGGGCCUGGUCAUAGCUUUCUCUGUGCCUGAGUUGACCAGCAGCCAGGAGUCCUGGGGACCACUCUUCCAUAGCGCUCCCUGCUGCUGAGGCAGGGGACGUGUGGCCAGUGGCCCAGGGAAGGGUGGACCCAGCGGCAGGGUCCCAGCUGUGGUCUGAGGUUUCCCUUCAUAGGAACCAGUGGAGUAGGAAGAGCCCGGUCCCAGCCUCUUCGAGGUGUGUGACCACAGUGGCUCUUGGAACAGCUGGGGAUCCUGAGACAGCACCGCCUGGUUACUGCGGGUGGAGGGGACAGUUUAGGCACAGACUCAAGCCAGGCCACUUGGGCAGACCCUCGGCUCCCUCCUAGACGGCGCAACUCUCUGGGCCUCAGUCCUUCCAGCUGUAAAAUGGGUGGAUUGAGGGUCUUAGUGUGCACCCUGGAGGGUUACCGGCCACACCUUUCUGUUUCAGACAGACGUUGUCAACACCAUGUGCGGCUACAAAACCAUCGACAAGGAGGUAAUGUCUUUGAAAUUCCUUUGUCCCAGAAUUUGGCUCUUCUUGUCCUUCCCCCAGGUAGACAGAGGGGUUUCCAGAGGUGGGGUUCCUGCUGCAGUGACUCCCCACACUCCUGGCUGUGAGCCGAGGACAGGCCUGCCGGACACAGAAGGGCUCAGGGAGCCAGGAGUCCUCGUGUCCCUGGGUCUGGGAGAGGCCACCUGCCAGGGUUUGCUGAGCACCUAGUUCAGUCUUGUGCACAUGAGAGACGGUGGCCCUUGCAGGCACCCCCUGUACACUGUGUCCCUGGCUCUGCCCCCUCCCAGCCUGCUUUUGCCCUUGGAGUUGCCAGUUGGCAGACGGCUCAUCUCUGCCUGAGACCCAGGAGGACAGUGAGCCCCUGGGGGUACCCCGGGGUCAGCUUCCUGAGCAGUAGGGGGUCUCUGCAGCAGCUGCCCUGUGGGAACACAUUAGAAAGCACAUCAUUUGGGAGCAUUUCAGAUUUGGGGGUUUGGAUUAGGGAUGCUCAACCUUUAUAAUCACUAUUCGAUUUACAUAGUAGUCGUUCUAGACGAUUCCUUGUAUAUUAAAACCAUGCAAAAAAACCCAAACCCUUUUUUCUCCCUCCUACGUACCUGGAGUUAGGCUUUUGGCUCAGGUGGCCGUAGGCAGGCCAGGGGUCCACUUGAAAGGCGUGCACACGGGCCAGUGUUUGUGGACUAGGGUUACCCUGAGCUUUGCCAUCCUCCAGUACCCAGCCCCAAUCAUUUGGACACCAAGGUGCCACCGCCAUGUCCCCAGUACUCUUUAGGGGAGUGAUACUAGAGAAUCAGUGGUCUGCGGCCAUCUUCCCAUAUUGCAUGGGAGAAGCGGAGGCCCAGAGUGGCCAAAGGAUUGACCUGGAGCUCUGGUGAGUGGCAGAGGGGAUGUGCUGUCGGGCUGACCAGCCUCCCCCCUACAGCGCCUCAGCGUGCAGGACGUCAUCUACGUGCGGGGCUGCACCAACGCUGUGCUCAUCUGGUUCAUGGAUAACUACACCAUCAUGGCGGGCCUCCUGCUGGGCAUCCUGCUCCCCCAGGUGGGAGCCCCCAGGGUCCCCUGUGCAGCUGGGUUAUUGCAGGAGUAGUGUGGGAGAAGAUGGGGGGCUCUGGGAGGGCUGGAAGAGAGGCCGGGAGGCUGGAGCGUGGGGUGUUGAGCUCUGAGGUGCUUCACAGGCACCUCCUCCUCCGGCUCUCUGUGAGGGAGUGGGACGAUCAUUCCCAUUUUGCAGAGAAGGAAACUGAGGCUUGGCGAGGUGAAGUGACGUGCCUGAGCCCUGCUAGAUGGGCCACGGCAGAGCUGGGUGGGGAGCAGGUUCCCAGCCUGCAGGGACCCUGGCUGGUGGGACCCAGGGAGGCCUCUGAGGUUUCUGGGGGGGGGGCCUGGGGAGGCCUAGGCUGGGGCUGCUGGGUCGUGGGGUGCAGGGAGGAGCUCCCGGGAGGGCUCUGCACUGGCUGCUCGUGUUUCUGGAGCCGGGACCUGCCAGGGAGGGCCGCCCUGGGGGCCGCGAGGCUCUCCCCAACCUGCCCCUUCUUCUUAGUUCUUGGGGGUGCUGCUGACGCUUCUGUACAUCACCCGCGUGGAGGACAUCAUCAUGGAGCAUUCUGUCACCGACGGACUUCUGGGCCCGGACGCCAAGCUCAGCGCGGACACAGCAGGCACAGGCUGCUGCUUGUGCUACCCCAAUUAGGGCCGGGGCCUGGACACCAACUCCAGCAGGACCUGGCUGGGUGGCACCUCUCAGUCCACUUUAGGGGCUGGACAGGCUGCACCACGGCCCUGUGCCCGGGUGGAGUGCCCCUGUGGGCGGCAUCUCCACGGCCACACACUCUGGGUUCCGUGCCCACCCUGCCAGGAGAGAGAACGUGGCGUCCCUGCUCUGGGUCUGGGCCAUGAGGGAAAGAGGAACUUGGGGCUCAGCUUGGGGCCCACUUUAUUUCCGGCGGUGCCCUGGGCUUGUGGUCAGUAGGCCCCCCUUCAAGGGCAGUUUUGCUGUGAUUUGUCAGUUUGGGGAGACAGUGGCAGGAGGGGCAGGGGGUAGCCCUCCCACGCCCCAGAUCAGGUCGGGCCAUUUCUCAGCCUCCGUAGGUGCCUUCAGCCCUCUGCAAGGGCAGCUGUUUUGCUGACCUGUUUUCAUGUUCUGUGCAGAGCCGGGCAUUUUCCCGCUUUGGCUCCAAGUCAGUUCAUUAAUCAAACAAUAAAGACAAGAUUUUUUUUUUUUU
Molecule: long non-coding RNA, 6549 nt
Filed under: Marmota monax (woodchuck)
Lineage: Eukaryota; Metazoa; Chordata; Mammalia; Rodentia; Sciuridae
Source: RNAcentral